UUUUAUCAUUUGGCAGAUAAUUUUAUUUAUUUUCUCCCUUUGAAUUACACACUGAUAAAGUACUUUUUACAAUAUGUUUACAUAUAAUUCACAUUCUAUGACACUCGAAUUUUUGGGGUAGGCAAUCUUGGUGAUUCAUUAGGCAUAGGCUACUUGGGUUCUGACAGUGAACAAACAAUUUUGUUGGCUUUUAUAUUACUCAACUGUUGCCAUUUUGCUGCCUUUGAUUCCUAUGGCAUUGGUGUUGCUGGUCGAAGUGGGUACUUGUCUGCUGAAUAAUUGUGUUGUUUGGCGUUUGUUAGGCACGUACUCAUUGAAAG
Nilaparvata lugens (brown planthopper) is the source of this 320-nucleotide long non-coding RNA. RefSeq lists it as uncharacterized. The transcript has 2 exons. Lineage: Eukaryota; Metazoa; Arthropoda; Insecta; Hemiptera; Delphacidae. The record is from RefSeq and is a predicted model, not a curated record.